RNAcentral lists this ribosomal RNA (497 nucleotides) under uncultured bacterium. Its description in RNAcentral is "partial 16S ribosomal RNA". It matches the Rfam family "Bacterial small subunit ribosomal RNA", at positions 28 to 507 of the family's 1533-position model. The record is from RNAcentral.
GAUGAACGCUGGCGGCGUGCCUAAUACAUGCAAGUCGAGCGAACGGACGAGAAGCUUGCUUCUCUGAUGUUAGCGGCGGACGGGUGAGUAACACGUGGAUAACCUACCUAUAAGACUGGGAUAACUUCGGGAAACCGGAGCUAAUACCGGAUAAUAUUUUGAACCGCAUGGUUCAAAAGUGAAAGACGGUCUUGCUGUCACUUAUAGAUGGAUCGGCGCUGCAUUAGCUAGUUGGUAAGGUAACGGCUUACCAAGGCAACGAUGCAUAGCCGACCUGAGAGGGUGAUCGGCCACACUGGAACUGAGACACGGUCCAGACUCCUACGGUAGGAAGCAGUAGAGAAUCUUCCGCAAUGGGCGAAAGCCUGACGGUGCAACGCCGCGUGAAUGAUGAAGGUCUUCUGAUCGUAAAACUCUGUUAUUAGGGAAGAACAUAUGUGUAAGUAACUGUGCACAUCUUGACGGUACCUAAUCAGAAAGCCACGGCUAACUACGUG